RNAcentral lists this ribosomal RNA (505 nucleotides) under uncultured bacterium. Its description in RNAcentral is "partial 16S ribosomal RNA". It matches the Rfam family "Bacterial small subunit ribosomal RNA", at positions 28 to 507 of the family's 1533-position model. The record is from RNAcentral.
GACGAACGCUGGCGGCGUGCCUAAUACAUGCAAGUAGAACGCACAGUUUAUACCGUAGCUUGCUACACCAUAAACUGUGAGUUGCGAACGGGUGAGUAACGCGUAGGUAACCCGCCUGGUAGCGGGGGAUAACUAUUGGAAACGAUAGCUAAUACCGCAUAAUAUUGAUUAUUGCAUGAUAAUUGAUUGAAAGAUGCUAUUGCAUCACUACCAGAUGGACCUGCGUUGUAUUAGCUAGUAGGUGAGGUAACGGCUCACCUAGGCGACGAUACAUAGCCGACCUGAGAGGGUGAUCGGCCACACUGGGACUGAGACACGGCCCAGACUCCUACGGGAGGCAGCAGUAGGGAAUCUUCGGCAAUGGACGAAAGUCUGACCGAGCAGCGCCGCGUGAGUGAAGAAGGUUUUCGGAUCGUAAAGCUCUGUUGUAAGAGAAGAACGGGUGUGAGAGUGGAAAGUUCACACUGUGACGGUAUCUUACCAGAAAGGGACGGCUAACUACGUG